RNAcentral lists this transfer RNA (72 nucleotides) under Acinetobacter phage AM24. It matches the Rfam family "tRNA". From Rfam's summary of the family: Transfer RNA (tRNA) molecules are approximately 80 nucleotides in length. Their secondary structure includes four short double-helical elements and three loops (D, anti-codon, and T loops). The record is from Rfam by way of RNAcentral. Lineage: Duplodnaviria; Heunggongvirae; Uroviricota; Caudoviricetes.
GCACAAGUAGCUUAGAUGGAUUAGCGUAACCCUGAAAAGGUUGAGAGGUUGGAUCGUUACCAACAUUGUGCA